UGUUUCGACUAGGGGGUCAUCCCGACUUACCAACUCGAUGCAAACUGCGAAUACCGAAGAAUGUUAUCACGGGAGACACACGGCGGGUGCUAACGUCCGUCGUGAAGAGGGAAACAACCCAGACCGCCAGCUAAGGUCCCAAAGUCAUGGUUAAGUGGGAAACGAAGUGGGAAGGCUCAGACAGCCAGGAUGUUGGCUUAGAAGCAGCCAUCAUUUAAAGAAAGCGUAAUAGCUCACUGGUCGAGUCGGCCCGCGCGGAAGAUGUAACGGGGCUAAACCAUGCACCGAAGCUGCGGCAGCGACACAUAGUGUUGUUGGGUAGGGGAGCGUUCUGUAAGCCUGCGAAGGUGUACUGUGAGGUAUGCUGGAGGUAUCAGAAGUGCGAAUGCUGACAUAAGUAACGAUAAUGCGGGUGAAAAACCCGCACGCCGGAAGACCAAGGGUUCCUGUCCAACGUUAAUCGGGGCAGGGUGAGUCGACCCCUAAGGCGAGGCUGAAAAGCGUAGUCGAUGGGAAACGGGUUAAUAUUCCCGUACUGGUGGUAACUGCGAUGGGGGAACGGAGAAGGCUAGGUUGUCCGGGCGACGGUCGUCCCGGUUCAAGCAGGUAGGCAGAGUGAUUAGGCAAAUCCGGUCACUUAAUGC
Molecule: ribosomal RNA, 644 nt
Filed under: Proteus mirabilis
Lineage: Bacteria; Pseudomonadati; Pseudomonadota; Gammaproteobacteria; Enterobacterales; Morganellaceae
Description: partial 23S ribosomal RNA
Rfam family: Bacterial large subunit ribosomal RNA
Source: RNAcentral